Molecule: ribosomal RNA, 301 nt
Filed under: uncultured bacterium
Lineage: Bacteria
Description: partial 16S ribosomal RNA
Rfam family: Bacterial small subunit ribosomal RNA
Source: RNAcentral
CAGCAGCCACGGUAAUACGGAGGAUCCAAGCGUUAUCCGGAUUUAUUGGGUUUAAAGGGUGCGUAGGCGGCCUGUUAAGUCAGGGGUGAAAGACGGUAGCUUAACUAUCGCAGUGCCCUUGAUACUGAUGGGCUUGAAUGUACUAGAGGUAGGCGGAAUGAGACAAGUAGCGGUGAAAUGCAUAGAUAUGUCACAGAACACCAAUUGCGAAGGCAGCUUACUAUGGUAUGAUUGACGCUGAGGCACGAAAGUGUGGGGAUCAAACAGGAUUAGAUACCCCCGUAGUCCCUGUCUCUUAUAC